Molecule: ribosomal RNA, 468 nt
Filed under: uncultured bacterium
Lineage: Bacteria
Description: partial 16S ribosomal RNA
Rfam family: Bacterial small subunit ribosomal RNA
Source: RNAcentral
GACGAACGCUGGCGGCGUGCUUAACACAUGCAAGUCGAACGGAAAGGCCCUGCUUUUGUGUGGUGCUCGAGUGGCGAACGGGUGAGUAACACGUGAGUAUCCUGCCCUUGAUUUUGGGAUAACUUCAGGAAACUGGGGCUAAUACCUGAUAGGAGCUCCUGCUGCAUGGUGGGGGUUGGAAAGUUUCGGCGGUUGGGGAUGGACUCGCGGCUUAUCAGCUUGUUGGUGGGGUAGUGGCUUACCAAGGCUUUGACGGGUAGCCGGCCUGAGAGGGUGACCGGCCACAUUGGGACUGAGAUACGGCCCAGACUCCUACGGGAGGCAGCAGUGGGGAAUAUUGCACAAUGGGCGGAAGCCUGAUGCAGCAACGCCGCGUGCGGGAUGACGGCCUUCGGGUUGUAAACCGCUUUCGCCUGUGACGAAGCGUGAGUGACGGUAAUGGGUAAAGAAGCACCGGCUAACUACGUG